UACGAAGGGUGCAAACGUUGCUCGGAAUUAUUGGGCGUAAAGCGCACGUAGGCGGCUUUGCAAGUCCCAUGUGAAAUCCCACGGCUCAACCGUGGAAGUGCAUGGGAAACUGCAGAGCUUGAGUACUUAAGAGGAUCGCGGAAUUCCCGGUGUAGAGGUGAAAUUCGUAGAUAUUCGCAAGAACACCAGUGGCGAAGGCGGCUCACUGGCCCGGUACUGACGCUGAGGAGCGAAAGCGUGGGUAGCGAACAGG
RNAcentral lists this ribosomal RNA (253 nucleotides) under uncultured bacterium. Its description in RNAcentral is "partial 16S ribosomal RNA". It matches the Rfam family "Bacterial small subunit ribosomal RNA", at positions 524 to 776 of the family's 1533-position model. The record is from RNAcentral.